GAUGAACGCUGGCGGCGUGCCUAAUACAUGCAAGUCGAGCGAACGGACGAGAAGCUUGCUUCUCUGAUGUUAGCGGCGGACGGGUGAGUAACACGUGGAUAACCUACCUAUAAGACUGGGAUAACUUCGGGAAACCGGAGCUAAUACCGGAUAAUAUUUUGAACCGCAUGGCUCAAAAGUGAAAGACGGUCUUGCUGUCACUUAUAGAUGGAUCCGCGCUGCAUUAGCUAGUUGGUAAGGUAACGGCUUACCAAGGCAACGAUGCAUAGCCGACCUGAGAGGGUGAUCGGCCACACUGGAACUGAGACACGGUCCAGACUCCUACGGGAGGCAGCAGUAGGGAAUCUUCCGCAAUGGGCGAAAGCCUGACGGAGCAACGCCGCGUGAGUGAUGAAGGUCUUCGGAUCGUAAAACUCUGUUAUUAGGGAAGAACAAAUGUGUAAGUAACUAUGCACAUCUUGACGGUACCUAAUCAGAAAGCCACGGCUAACUACGUG
RNAcentral lists this ribosomal RNA (497 nucleotides) under uncultured bacterium. RNAcentral's name for it is "partial 16S ribosomal RNA". It matches the Rfam family "Bacterial small subunit ribosomal RNA", at positions 28 to 507 of the family's 1533-position model. The record is from RNAcentral.